Molecule: ribosomal RNA, 496 nt
Filed under: uncultured bacterium
Lineage: Bacteria
Description: partial 16S ribosomal RNA
Rfam family: Bacterial small subunit ribosomal RNA
Source: RNAcentral
GAUGAACGCUGGCGGCGUGCCUAAUACAUGCAAGUCGAGCGAACAGAUGAGGAGCUUGCUCCUCUGACGUUAGCGGCGGACGGGUGAGUAACACGUGGAUAACCUACCUAUAAGACUGGGAUAACUUCGGGAAACCGGAGCUAAUACCGGAUAAUAUAUUGAACCGCAUGGUUCAAUAGUGAAAGACGGUUUUGCUGUCACUUAUAGAUGGAUCCGCGCCGCAUUAGCUAGUUGGUAAGGUAACGGCUUACCAAGGCAACGAUGCGUAGCCGACCUGAGAGGGUGAUCGCCCACACUGGACCUGAGACCCGGUCCGGACCCUUAGGGGAGGCAGAGGAAGGAAAUCUUCGGAAAUGGGGGAAAGCUUGCGGGAGCAACGCGGGGGGGGUGAUGAAGUUUUCCGGAUCGUAAAACCCUUUUAUUGGGGAAAAAAAAAUUUGUAGUAACUAUGCACGUCUUGACGGUACCUAAUCAGAAAGCCACGGCUAACUACGUG